GACGAACGCUGGCGGCGUGCUUAACACAUGCCAGUCGAACGGAAAGGCCCUGCUUUUGUGGGGUGCUCGAGUGGCGAACGGGUGAGUAACACGUGAGUAACCUGCCCUUGACUUUGGGAUAACUUCAGGAAACUGGGGCUAAUACCGGAUAGGAGCUCCUGCUGCAUGGUGGGGGUUGGAAAGUUUCGGCGGUUGGGGAUGGACUCGCGGCUUAUCAGCUUGUUGGUGGGGUAGUGGCUUACCAAGGCUUUGACGGGUAGCCGGCCUGAGAGGGUGACCGGCCACAUUGGGACUGAGAUACGGCCCAGACUCCUACGGGAGGCAGCAGCGGGGAAUAUUGCACAAUGGGCGGAAGCCUGAUGCAGCAACGCCGCGUGCGGGAUGACGGCCUUCGGGUUGUAAACCGCUUUCGCCUGUGACGAAGCGUGAGUGACGGUAAUGGGUAAAGAAGCACCGGCUAACUACGUG
Molecule: ribosomal RNA, 468 nt
Filed under: uncultured bacterium
Lineage: Bacteria
Description: partial 16S ribosomal RNA
Rfam family: Bacterial small subunit ribosomal RNA
Source: RNAcentral